UACGUAGGUGGCAAGCGUUGUCCGGAUUUAUUGGGUUUAAAGGGUGCGUAGGCGCCUUGUAAGUCAGUGGUGAAAUACUCCAGCUUAACUGGAGGGGUGCCAAUGAUACUGCAGAACUUGAGUACAGAUGAGGUAGGCGGAAUUGACGGUGUAGCGGUGAAAAUGCAUAGAUAUCGUCAAAGAAACACCCGAUAGCGAAAGGCAGCUUUACUGGGGCUGU
This 220-nucleotide ribosomal RNA is filed under the name uncultured bacterium. RNAcentral describes it as "partial 16S ribosomal RNA". It matches the Rfam family "Bacterial small subunit ribosomal RNA", at positions 524 to 737 of the family's 1533-position model. The record is from RNAcentral.